RNAcentral lists this unclassified non-coding RNA (176 nucleotides) under uncultured fungus. RNAcentral's name for it is "partial contains 5.8S ribosomal RNA and internal transcribed spacer 2". The stretch from base 1 to 134 matches the Rfam family "5.8S ribosomal RNA", at positions 22 to 154 of the family's 154-position model. From Rfam's summary of the family: 5.8S ribosomal RNA (5.8S rRNA) is a component of the large subunit of the eukaryotic ribosome. It is transcribed by RNA polymerase I as part of the 45S precursor that also contains 18S and 28S rRNA. Lineage: Eukaryota; Fungi. The record is from RNAcentral.
UGGCUCUCGCAUCGAUGAAGAACGCAGCGAAAUGCGAUAAGUAAUGUGAAUUGCAGAAUUCAGUGAAUCAUCGAAUCUUUGAACGCACCUUGCGCCCUUUGGCUAUUCCGAAGGGCAUGCCUGUUUGAGUAUCAUGAACACCUGUUUGAUCUCAAUCAGGUAGGACUACCCGCUGA